GAUGAAGAACGUAGCGAAAUGCGAUACGUAGUGUGAAUUGCAGAAUUCAGUGAAUCAUCGAAUCUUUGAACGCACAUUGCACCUCUCGGUAUUCCGGGAGGUAUGCCUGUUCGAGCGUCAUUGCUGCCCUCAAGCACGGCUUGUGUGUUGGGCCCCGUCCUCCGAUCCCGGGGGACGGGCCCGAAAGGCAGCGGCGGCACCGCGUCCGGUCCUCGAGCGUAUGGGGCUUUGUCACCCGCUCUGUAGGCCCGGCCGGCGCUUGCCGAUCAACCCAAAUUUUUAUCCAGGUUGACCUCGGAUCAGGUAGGGAUACCCGCUGAACUUAAGCAUAUCAAUAAGCGGAGGA
Molecule: unclassified non-coding RNA, 346 nt
Filed under: soil metagenome
Description: partial contains 5.8S ribosomal RNA, internal transcribed spacer 2, and large subunit ribosomal RNA
Rfam family: 5.8S ribosomal RNA (bases 1-120)
Source: RNAcentral